CCUGCCCUCUAGUGUACUUUCUCAUUUCUCAUCGUUCACGACCAACGUUCGCGCGCUCUUUAUCGCCGGUCCGCCAAAAGUACAAGCAUCAAAAAACGUAAUAAUACGUAGCAAUAAAAGGACUCAUGCAAAAGUUUGAAAGCCGCAAAAGAAAUGAUAUCCGAAUGCUUUAGAUUAAUUUUGCUGAAGACAACAAUUCUGUAUAAGGAUGAGGUCUAAGAGAGACAUAAAGCAUAGAUGGAAUAAUUUUUGGAUCUUUGUUGAAGAUAUUGACAAUCUUAGAGGAGGAGAAAAUCUUGGGAAAGGCAUAGAACGUAGAUGAAGCUGUUUUAAGAUAAUUUGAAUACAGAGGACAUUGACA
This is a non-coding RNA of Nylanderia fulva, 361 nucleotides long. Lineage: Eukaryota; Metazoa; Arthropoda; Insecta; Hymenoptera; Formicidae. The record is from RefSeq and is a predicted model, not a curated record.